This is a long non-coding RNA of Trifolium pratense (red clover), 734 nucleotides long. RefSeq lists it as uncharacterized. The transcript is spliced from 5 exons. NCBI's taxonomy places the organism in Eukaryota, Viridiplantae, Streptophyta, Magnoliopsida, Fabales, Fabaceae. The record is from RefSeq and is a predicted model, not a curated record.
AUCUCUCACUGGUGAGAGAGUAUUUUUACUGGCUAUCAAAGGAUCCACCGCAUUGCUCCUUCCUCCGGUCCAUAACCAUUGAACUAAGUAAAAUUAACAUAUUUAAGAUCUAACAAGUUGGUGUGGACGAGGACAUUGAAUUGGCUAAACAAGUUGACAAACCAUUCUUUACCUCAAAUUUUCAAAUCCUUCCAUUGUAGCAAAUCAACAUUCAUACUUUCAUUGUAGCAAAUCAAACGAGCAAAGACAACUGGUUUGGAUCGAUCGAGAAGCAGAGCAAAGUGAAGACAACGGAAGGUUCUUUGAGGCUUUGAGUCAUGGAGGGUAGACCAAACAGUCAAAAUCCAUUGUUCGUGAACGUAGCUUCAGGGGAAGUAAUGGGAAGACAGAAUUGAAAGUGUAUGGGGUGCUUCAUAUGAUGGUUUUGAAUAUGAUAUUAGUGUUGGACAUGUUUUCAUGCAAUUUAUUUGCCUCAAUCUGACUUAGUUAAUGUGUUGUAAAAUUUACGUUGUUGACUUUGGUUUCAUUUUGUGUUACUUCAUGAUCGUUAGUGAACUAAAGUAUUAAUGGUUAUCUAUGUUGUGUAAGGUACUAUGUUUUGUAACAAACCUCGUUAGUGAACUAAAGUAUUAAUGGUUAUCUAUGUUGUGUAAGGUACUAUGUUUUGUAACAAACCAAGCUUGUUGCUUGUGGUUAUUUGGUGAAUUUAUUUAUCUAUUUUGAAACUGUGAUUA